GCCAGUGUGGUGUAGUGGUUUGAUUGCUGGGCUACAACUCUGGAGACCAGGGUUCAAAUCCCCACUCAGCCA
Non-coding RNA from Phrynosoma platyrhinos (Desert horned lizard), 72 nucleotides. The record is from the annotation of a GenBank genome assembly. Lineage: Eukaryota; Metazoa; Chordata; Lepidosauria; Squamata; Phrynosomatidae.